AUUGAACGCUGGCGGCAGGCUUAACACAUGCAAGUCGAGCGGGGUGAUGGUGCUUGCACUAUCACUUAGCGGCGGACGGGUGAGUAAUGCUUAGGAAUCCGCCUAUUAGUGGGGGACAACAUCUCGAAAGGGAUGCUAAUACCGCAUACGUCCUACGGGAGAAAGCAGGGGAUCACUUGUGACCUUGCGCUAAUAGAUGAGCCUAAGUCGGAUUAGCUAGUUGGUGGGGUAAAGGCCUACCAAGGCGACGAUCUGUAGCGGGUCUGAGAGGAUGAUCCGGCACACUGGGACUGAGACACGGCCCAGACGCCUACGGGAGGCAGCAGUGGGGAAUAUUGGACAAUGGGGGGAACCCUGAUCCAGCCAUGCCGCGUGUGUGAAGAAGGCCUUAUGGUUGUAAAGCACUUUAAGCGAGGAGGAGGCUCUUUUGGUUAAUACCCAAGAUGAGUGGACGUUACUCGCAGAAUAAGCACCGGCUAACUCUGUGCCAGCAGCCGCCGUAA
This 503-nucleotide ribosomal RNA is filed under the name uncultured bacterium. RNAcentral's name for it is "partial 16S ribosomal RNA". It matches the Rfam family "Bacterial small subunit ribosomal RNA", at positions 30 to 523 of the family's 1533-position model. The record is from RNAcentral.